RNAcentral lists this ribosomal RNA (252 nucleotides) under uncultured prokaryote. RNAcentral describes it as "partial 16S ribosomal RNA". It matches the Rfam family "Bacterial small subunit ribosomal RNA", at positions 524 to 776 of the family's 1533-position model. The record is from RNAcentral.
UACAGAGGGGGCAAGCGUUAUUCGGAAUUACUGGGCGUAAAGUGUGCGCAGGCCGCCGAGCAAGUCGAGUGUGAAAGCCCCGAGCUUAACUUGGGAACUGCGCUCGAAACUACUUGGCUAGAGUGUGGCAGAGGGAGGUGGAAUUCCACGUGUAGCGGUGAAAUGCGUAGAGAUGUGGAGGAAGGCCGGUGGCGAAGGCGGCUCUCUGGAACGUUCCUGACACUGAGGCACGAAAGCGUGGGAGCAAACAGG